GUGGUUGUAGCUCAGUUGGUAGAGUGUCUGCCUUGCAUGUGUGAGGCACUGGGUUUGAGCCUCAGCACCACA
This 72-nucleotide transfer RNA is filed under the name Marmota marmota marmota (Alpine marmot). It matches the Rfam family "tRNA". From Rfam's summary of the family: Transfer RNA (tRNA) molecules are approximately 80 nucleotides in length. Their secondary structure includes four short double-helical elements and three loops (D, anti-codon, and T loops). RNAcentral also lists the same sequence under 1 other name. The record is from Rfam by way of RNAcentral. Lineage: Eukaryota; Metazoa; Chordata; Mammalia; Rodentia; Sciuridae.